RNAcentral lists this ribosomal RNA (501 nucleotides) under uncultured bacterium. Its description in RNAcentral is "partial 16S ribosomal RNA". It matches the Rfam family "Bacterial small subunit ribosomal RNA", at positions 30 to 523 of the family's 1533-position model. The record is from RNAcentral.
AUUGAACGCUGGCGGCAGGCUUAACACAUGCAAGUCGAGCGGGGGAAGGUAGCUUGCUACCGGACCUAGCGGCGGACGGGUGAGUAAUGCUUAGGAAUCUGCCUAUUAGUGGGGGACAACAUCUCGAAAGGGAUGCUAAUACCGCGUACGUCCUACGGGAGAAAGCAGGGGAUCUUCGGACCUUGCGCUAAUAGAUGAGCCUAAGUCGGAUUAGCUAGUUGGUGGGGUAAAGGCCUACCAAGGCGACGAUCUGUAGCGGGUCUGAGAGGAUGAUCCGCCACACUGGGACUGAGACACGGCCCAGACUCCUACGGGAGGCAGCAGUGGGGAAUAUUGGACAAUGGGGGGAACCCUGAUCCAGCCAUGCCGCGUGUGUGAAGAAGGCCUUAUGGUUGUAAAGCACUUUAAGCGAGGAGGAGGCUACUUUAGUUAAUACCUGGAGAUAGUGGACAUUACUCGCAGAAUAAGCACCGGCUAACUCUGUGCCAGCCGCCGCGGUAA